CAUAUAUUUUUCUGCAUUUUAGCAAACACCAUUGAGAAUCCCAUUGGCAGAUGCUUCUAGAGCCACAUAAGCAAAAAAAUUCCUAGAGUAUACUUCAACUUCUCCAAAGAGUAUUACAACUUUCAGGGCAAUGGGUAAGGCAGAAUGAAGCCUCUGGACCUUGGAGACUGAUGAACUGUACUUGUGCCCCACUUGUACAUGUUGUAGGCCAGGCAGCUUUCAGGGCAUAGAGAAGAAGGAUAACUGUAAGAUUACAGAGUUUUAUUCACUACAGAAACAGAUGACAAAACAAGAUGUACUAAGGAACCAACUAGAAGAUGGCUUUUUAAGUGCUGACUCGAAGUGAGUUUGGAAACAUCCCCAAUGAAAAAAUGAUGGCCAGAGGCCAGAAGCAUAGCUCAUUGAGAGAGACUACUUGGAAACCUUUGCAUCAGUGAACAGCAAGUUUUGCAAGUUUUUUCACUUCAUUUAAUAAAUUAAUUUUUACUUUAGCUGAAAUAACUUUUGAGAGUCAGUCUCUCUAGGCUUUUGAAAGGUCUUCUGUCAGUGAGCUCUUACUGAUAUCACUAACAGAAGAGCAAAUUCAUGCAGAAGGCAGCACAUUCCCUUGGCAAUACUGAGCCUGUUGGUCUUGUUGGUACCUUGGCCUCCCGAAUGGAAUGAUUUUUGUAU
Passer domesticus (house sparrow) is the source of this 672-nucleotide long non-coding RNA. RefSeq lists it as uncharacterized. The transcript is spliced from 4 exons. The record is from RefSeq and is a predicted model, not a curated record. NCBI's taxonomy places the organism in Eukaryota, Metazoa, Chordata, Aves, Passeriformes, Passeridae.